CCUACGGGGCGCACCAGUGGGGAAUAUUGGGCAAUGGGCGCAAGCCUGACCCAGCCACGCCGCGUGAGGGAAGAAGGUUUUCGGAUCGUAAACCUCUGUCAGGAGGGAAGAAGUGGCAUGUUUUUAAUAGAGACAUGCUUUGACGGUCCCUCCGGAGGAAGCACUUGCUAACUCCGUGCCAGCAGCCGCGGUAACACGGAGGGUGCAAGCGUUAUUCGGAAUUACUGGGCGUAAAGCGCGCGUAGGUCGCGUGGGAAGUCAGAUGUGAAAGCCCUCGGCUCAACCGAGGAACCGCAUUUGAAACGGCUAUGCUUGAGUACGACAGAGGGGGGCGGAAUUCCGGGUGUAGGGGUGAAAUCCGUAGAUAUCGGGAGGAACACCAGUGGCGAAGGCGGCCCCCUGGGUCGAUACUGACGCUGAGGCGCGAAAGCGUGGGUAGCAAACAGGAUUAGAUACCCUAGUAGUC
RNAcentral lists this ribosomal RNA (466 nucleotides) under uncultured bacterium. Its description in RNAcentral is "bacterial SSU rRNA". It matches the Rfam family "Bacterial small subunit ribosomal RNA", at positions 338 to 795 of the family's 1533-position model. The record is from RNAcentral.